Molecule: ribosomal RNA, 466 nt
Filed under: uncultured bacterium
Lineage: Bacteria
Description: bacterial SSU rRNA
Rfam family: Bacterial small subunit ribosomal RNA
Source: RNAcentral
UCCAGACUCCUACGGGAGGCAGCAGUGAGGAAUAUUGGUCAAUGGGCGCGAGCCUGAACCAGCCAAGUCGCGUGAGGGAUGACGGCCCUACGGGUUGUAAACCUCUUUUGUCGGGGAGCAAAGAGAGUCACGUGUGGCUCAUUGAGAGUACCCGAAGAAAAAGCAUCGGCUAACUCCGUGCCAGCAGCCGCGGUAAUACGGAGGAUGCGAGCGUUAUCCGGAUUUAUUGGGUUUAAAGGGUGCGCAGGCGGAGGUGCAAGUCAGUGGUCAAAUGGCGGGGCUCAACCUCUUCGAGCCGUUGAAACUGGUGUUCUUGAGUGAGCGAGAAGUAUGCGGAAUGCGUGGUGUAGCGGUGAAAUGCAUAGAUAUCACGCAGAACUCCGAUUGCGAAGGCAGCAUACCGGCGCCCGACUGACGCUGAGGCACGAAAGCGUGGGUAUCGAACAGGAUUAGAUACCCCUGUACU